RNAcentral lists this long non-coding RNA (2448 nucleotides) under Gallus gallus (chicken). Its description in RNAcentral is "lncRNA (ENSGALG00010009729.1)". The record is from RNAcentral. Lineage: Eukaryota; Metazoa; Chordata; Aves; Galliformes; Phasianidae.
CCUGCGGCCGGGCGUCACCCACGCGUGGGGCGGGGGCGGCGGGACUCGGCCGGCAACAGCCGUCGAGGAAAUCGGGACCGAGGAGCGGCGGGGCGGCCGAGGAACAAUAUGAAGUUAUUUUCUCUGGCACUCUCUGCAAACAGUAGAAGUUUUGCCUGAAAUUGGGAAUGUUCUAUCCAGAGUUUUUCAAGCAAAUAUCAAGAUUUCCAGCAAUUUCAAUAUUCUUUUGAUCGGGCGCUUAAUCUUCUAGAAAGUGCUGGGCUUAAAAGGAUUAUUGUGUAUGUGGUGCUGACUGCAUAUGGAGUUUGGAGUUCGAGUUGUGUCUAAGGAAGAAGAAAGAAAUUUACUAACAGAUUUUCUAACACCUUGAGUUGACUCUGAACAUCUUUUAAAAACACCAAAGGUUGUGCAGGAGUUGAUUAAAGAUGUGACUAGACCUUCCUUAUUAGGCAUGUAUUGAGUUGAAACUGCUAUAUGAGAAAUGGGCAGGACUGUAUCUCCAGCUUUGAAUUCCUAUCCGGUCCUUCUAAAGAAAUUCUGUUGUGUUACUGACAGCUGAUGCAUGAAGUGAAGUUUGGUGACAGGACUUAAUGUUUUUAAUAACAUCAAAACUACUUGCAGGAAGAGAUUCUUAACAUUCAUUGUGAAAGGCUGAAGGUCGUGCAAUGUUGUACAGUCACUAAUGUUAUGAAGAUAGGAGUCUGCCCCCAGAAACUUGUGCUGCAGCGGCAAGACAGAACACACUCAGCACUGGGUGGGACUUGGAGAGCGUCCUGGGAAAGAGUAGGAGCUCCUGAAUCAGUGAAUCAUAUGAUAGCACAAAUCUCUAUCGGUGGAGCCUACAGCUGCAGACAAACCUUGAAGAAGGUCUCCUACAGCAGCAUGAAAGGCUGCUGACCAGAGGCCAUUAGAACAUGACUGGGAAGAGGAAGACUUGGCUGUGACUGGGCUGGUACCUUCACAGAAGGCCCUCGAACAACUGUUUAUUUCCAGAGUCUUCCCGGGUAACUCUGAAUGUAUUCCUCCUCUCAUGAAAGUAUAGCUACUUACAGUCUUGAGUCUAGGGGGAGAGAGGGAGUUGCAUGCUGACAUUUAAGUGCCCCUUUUUACUGUCUUGCCCUUCUUAUAAAAAAUGUCAUUUAAAAUUUAAAUUAUAACAUUAGUGAAAUCUUAUUAAAUUUAAUAUGAUUUAAAUUAAAAUAAAAUUGCUAAAAUCAUCAAGUUGUGCAGAAAAAAAAAUGCAUAAUAAAAAAUUAAAAUUAGAAAAGUCCUCAGGGAGGAGGGCCAUCAUAACCCUCUUUCCUUCUCUUCUACCCCACUUCUCCCAAAUGGCUAUAUUGUAUGCAGUCAAAUUCUUUAAGAACUCAUGCAGUUGAAAGAGGAAAAGACUUUUCUGUAUGCCAAUAAGUGCAAAAACAUGCGAUUGUAAAUGAAGAAAUUGAUAUGUAAAGGUUCAAUGAUUUGUUCAAAGAAUAAAUGAAGCUGGCAUUAGUCACUAUGUGUUGUUGCUUAUGUGCACAGAACUGGGCAUAUCUAUAUGGUGUUCAUAUUCUUAAACAAAUCGAUUGUUAGACAUUUAACAUGAACAGCUGCGAGUGAAAUAUUUUGUAUUUUAGAUUUUUGUGAAAAUCUGCAUACCACAGACUUCUAGAAUGCAAGCAGAAGAUAAUCCUUCUUCAGAAUUAGUCAUAACGACUGUGAAGAGAUCUGAAUUUUUACACUGCUCUUGCCCCUGUUGUGAGUUUCUGGUGGAUAAGCUGAUAGCUUCAGUUUUCAAAGAUGUCAGGCAAGCUCUUUUUUUGUACCAAUGGGUAACAGCAGUUGUUCUCUGGUAGCAAUUAUUAUCUUUCACAGCAUAUAAAGGCUUGAUGUGCUAUUAACUAAUCUUCUUGAGGUGAAAACUUCUUGUCCGUUUGUCUAAAGCUUUGAGUAUUUUACAGAAAAAUUCUCUAUCCAUCCAUUAUAAUGAAAAAAUACUUUGUCAGCAUUCUGUGAUGUGUUUUGAUUACCAGUUACCUUAUGACUACAUUAACAUCAAUAUAUUUUUUUUUCAAAACAGAUUUAAGAUUCUGCCUUUCAAAUCCUACUUGGUUAAAAAAAACAAAAACAAAAAAAAAGUAGCAUCAUAAGGAAGGUCUGGCAUGCAUUUGAUACAACUCAGCUUAUGCAUUCUCACCAUCCAAUGUAUUGGCUUUACUAGGGAUUUGAUUUGGACCCAGAUUCAACACAGAUAUAUAAUGUGCACAGUAGCAUGUAGCUAUUUGCGAUGGACUACAUCAGGACUGUGGGUAAAUAGUUCUUAUGCUUUGAUAUGCAUGCUGAUGUCCCCAGUAAAAUUACUUUUUAAGCAACAUAUGGAGAAAGCGUGUUACCAUGAGUCAAAGUAUUGUAAAUAGUCUUACUAUUUAGUUCAAAAAUACUCAUUUCAAUAUAUUUUCAGUAUCCUCC